UGGGGGAUAACGUAGGGAAACUUACGCUAAUACCGCAUACGUCCUACGGGAGAAAGCGGGGGAUCACAAGACCUCGCGCGGUUGGAUGGACCGAUGUGCGAUUAGCUAGUUGGUAAGGUAACGGCUUACCAAGGCGACGAUCGCUAGCUGGUCUGACAGGAUGAUCAGCCACACUGGGACUGAGACACGGCCCAAACUCCUACGGGAGGCAGCAGUGGGGAAUAUUGGACAAUGGGCGCAAGCCUGAUCCAGCAAUGCCGCGUGUGUGAAGAAGGCCCUCGGGUUGUAAAGCACUUUUAUCAGGAGCGAAAUCUGCAGAGUUAAUACCUCUGUAGUCUGACGGUACCUGAGGAAUAAGCACCGGCUAACUCCGUGCCAGCAGCCGCGGUAAUACGGAGGGUGCAAGCGUUAAUCGGAAUUACUGGGCGUAAAGCGUGCGUAGGCGGUUUGUUAAGUCUGUUGUGAAAGCCCCGGGCUCAACCUGGGAAUGGCAAUGGAUACUGGCAAGCUAGAGUGUGAUAGAGGAUGGUGAAUUCCCGGUGUAGCGGUGUCUUUGCGUAAGAUCGGAA
This 569-nucleotide ribosomal RNA is filed under the name Dyella sp. Its description in RNAcentral is "bacterial SSU rRNA". It matches the Rfam family "Bacterial small subunit ribosomal RNA", at positions 137 to 702 of the family's 1533-position model. Lineage: Bacteria; Pseudomonadati; Pseudomonadota; Gammaproteobacteria; Lysobacterales; Rhodanobacteraceae. The record is from RNAcentral.